Molecule: unclassified non-coding RNA, 212 nt
Filed under: Cystobasidium sp.
Lineage: Eukaryota; Fungi; Basidiomycota; Cystobasidiomycetes; Cystobasidiales; Cystobasidiaceae
Description: partial internal transcribed spacer region
Rfam family: Eukaryotic small subunit ribosomal RNA (bases 1-46)
Source: RNAcentral
AAGUCGUAACAAGGUUUCCGUAGGUGAACCUGCGGAAGGAUCAUUAAUGAAUUCUAGGACGUUCUUUUUAGAAGUCCGACCCUUUCAUUUUCUUACACUGUGCACACACUUCUUUUUACACACACUUUUAACACAUUAGUAUAAGAAUGUAACAGUCUCUUAAUUGAGCAUAAACAAAAAUAAAACUUUCAGCAACGGAUCUCUUGGCUCUC